Molecule: long non-coding RNA, 1174 nt
Organism: Haliotis rubra (blacklip abalone)
Lineage: Eukaryota; Metazoa; Mollusca; Gastropoda; Lepetellida; Haliotidae
Exons: 6
Source: RefSeq, a predicted model, not a curated record
AUGUGUGAAGAUGAACAACUUAUGCAACUUACAAUUAUCAGAAUGUUGUACUUUUGUAUUUGUAGUUGUAUGCUGUUGUACUGAGUUGUACUGACCUAGGGAGGUAUUUCCAUGGAUGUGUUUCUGUACUACCAUGAAUGUGGUGUUGUGGUGAAGGCAGUAACGCUAUGUAGGUAGAUGAGGCUGCCUGGAAGAGAGAUGCUGAUAUCCAUAUAAUUAUCUCUCAUGUUCAUCGUUACAAGGAAGACCUGGUUUUGAUUCCUCACAUGGGUACAAAGUGUGAAGCCCAUUUCUGGUGUCCCACGUCAUGAUAUUGCUGGAAUAUUACUAAAACUCACUCACUAAACUCACUCACUCACUCCCAGCUGUAUGGCUACAAGUGUGAUGACAGCUGUGUGGGUAACCUCCCUUUGUCCCUGCUGUGGUCUCCAGGAAAAACUGCAUGAUGACACUGGCAUAGGACUAUGAGGUAGCGUUCCCUCAACUGCGACCCCCUCGACUGACGGCCUCAGAUACUGACACAGCCUUCUAUACCUGAGCGUGUCUAACCUCCAGACCACAGGUGAUUCAUCACUUGCAUACUGCUCUCUGAUUGGCUGAUGACUUGGUAAACAGUUGGCGGGUGGAUGACAGACCGCUGUGACACUAGGCACUGUUCAAGUUCAAGCAUGAAAACCUUAUGCUGUGUUAUGCCUGAAACAAUCAAUCCACUCAGCUUAUGACAAAGAAACAUCUAUAUCACCUGUGAUUACCAGAGGAUAUGAGGCUGGUCAUGCAUUCGGCCAGUUAAUCAACACCUAGGUAACACGUCUUGAGACGUCCCUUCCAGGCCUAUAUCAGCUGAUGUGGCUUCCAGCAGUGCGAAGGCCACCAGUCCACUGAGUAUAUCCAAACUUCUGCAUGUCUUAACACCUUGGUGGAUAUAGAAAACAUCAGUGGAUACAGAACAAGCCCAGACUGAUAUACUUCACAUGAUCCGUCCUUCUGUCCUAUAUCACAUCUGCAUAAGAUGAAGGUGUACGCGUGACCUCCCCAGUGGUGCUAGUUAAGGGUGUGUAAACCAUACAAAGACAAAAGUGGUGCAUGAUACAGGUUUGGAUUAUUUUAUAUACUUUGUAUGUGGUUCAUGUAAUCCACAUUUGAGAUUGUUGAAUAAAAUAUGUCUUUAGAAACA